GGAAUCUUGCGCAAUGGGCGAAAGCCUGACGCAGCGACGCCGCGUGGGGGAAGAAGGCCUUCGGGUUGUAAAGCUCUUUUGUCAGGGAAGAAACGGUCCGGGCUAAUAUCCUGGGCUAAUGACGGUACCUGAAGAAUAAGCACCGGCUAACUACGUGCCAGCAGCCGCGGUAAUACGUAGGGUGCAAGCGUUAAUCGGAAUUACUGGGCGUAAAGCGUGCGCAGGCGGUUGUGCAAGACAGAUGUGAAAUCCCCGGGCUUAACCUGGGAAUUGCAUUUGUGACUGCACGGCUAGAGUGUGUCAGAGGGGGGUAGAAUUCCACGUGUAGCAGUGAAAUGCGUAGAGAUGUGGAGGAAUACCGAUGGCGAAGGCAGCCCCCUGGGAUAACACUGACGCUCAUGCACGAAAGCGUGGGGAGCAAAC
This 423-nucleotide ribosomal RNA is filed under the name uncultured bacterium. Its description in RNAcentral is "bacterial SSU rRNA". It matches the Rfam family "Bacterial small subunit ribosomal RNA", at positions 358 to 773 of the family's 1533-position model. The record is from RNAcentral.